RNAcentral lists this ribosomal RNA (467 nucleotides) under uncultured bacterium. RNAcentral describes it as "partial 16S ribosomal RNA". It matches the Rfam family "Bacterial small subunit ribosomal RNA", at positions 28 to 506 of the family's 1533-position model. The record is from RNAcentral.
GACGAACGCUGGCGGCGUGCUUAACACAUGCAAGUCGAACGGAAAGGCCCUGCUUUUGUGGGGUGCUCGAGUGGCGAACGGGUGAGUAACACGUGAGUAACCUGCCCUUGACUUUGGGAUAACUUCAGGAAACUGGUGCUAAUACCGGAUAGGAGCUCCUGCUGCAUGGUGGGGGUUGGAAAGUUUCGGCGGUUGGGGAUGGACUCGCGGCUUAGCAGCUUGUUGGUGGGGUAGUGGCUUACCAAGGCUUGGACGGGUAGCCGGCCUGAGAGGGUGACCGGGCACAUUGGGCUUGGGGAGGGGCCAGGAGUGCAACGGGGGGCAGGAGUGGGGAAUAUGGCACACUGGGCGGAGGCUGGAUGCAGGAUCGCCGGGUGGGGGAGGACGGCCUUUGGGUUGGAAACCGAUUUCGCCUGUAACGAGGCGUGAGUAAGGGAAAUGGGGAAAGAGGCACGGGCUACCUAGGG